Dermacentor silvarum is the source of this 530-nucleotide long non-coding RNA. RefSeq lists it as uncharacterized. The transcript has 4 exons. Lineage: Eukaryota; Metazoa; Arthropoda; Arachnida; Ixodida; Ixodidae. The record is from RefSeq and is a predicted model, not a curated record.
GGAGCGGCAUUAGACAUACACCUAUAUCUGGUGGUACUUUAUUGUUGCCGGAACCAAGCCUCGGAUCGGACACAGUGGUAUCGAGACAUCUUCAAAUACUCCAUAAUGGUACUCCUCUCCGCAUUCAUUCUCGCAAUGGCAACUGAGGUCCUAACACGACGAGUCCAUGACCCAUACAACGUAGGAAAAAUGCAAAUUGUCAACAAUACCUGCCGAUACCGUGGAUAUGGCGUACCUGACAGUCUGUGUUUAGACUUAUCAAUUCCCUGCAUAAGUGUGUGCUGUAAGGCAAAGAAAUCUCAGCUCGUACUUACCGGAUGCCCCCUUCCUAAAGGCCACACAAUUUCGGCUCAUGAUCGAAGGCCAUUUUGGCCGGCGUGCUGCGUUGAACCGAUCUCAGAACCACCUGUGACCUUACUUGAACGUUCUUUAUCUCCCGAGCCGGAGGGACAUAACUUCAUGUCUGCCUAUCAAUACAGGAAAUUCCAGUAAAAAUCAAGCAAGGCAAUCCUUCUUUGUGUUGCAAAAAU